CCCUUAGGCAAUCCAAACCACGUGACCUCUGGUUGGCACACAAACUAAAGAAGAGGUUAUGUUUGUAUCUAUUUUUCAAUGAUUUUUCAUUGUUUAUCGUCGUAUUUUGGAUUCAUUUGGAUUUCGUUUCCUGUUUUUGUGAACUUUAUAAACUUUACCACAAUGCGAACUGAUUAUUUAAGGAAAUUAUUAUUGGAAACUCCAGAUGUUGCGAGAAAGAUAUUUAUUGAAGCUGAAAAUAAUUGGGGAUUUAGAUCCAUACGGAAUUCAGUCAGAAUUGGAUUUUACAGUAAAGUGCAGUCCAUCAAGUUACUAUUAUAGAUAUGUAUUUAUACAGAUCUGGUGGAGUCUCACAGUUGCUACUCUAAGCAGCAGAUGAAAGCAUACAAAAGCCUUCAGGCACAUAAAUAUUUUACAGCUGGAUUUGUUUUGAAUGGAGUAAAAAUUGUUAAUGAUUUCCUGAUUUCCAUAUUAUUGUUGGAAAGGUGAAGCAUUUCCAAAAAGCUAAUGCUAAACGACUAAAUGCUUGGGUGGGGUGAUAGCCAGUUCUGAUGACAUAGCAAAUGCACAUUGUAUGCGUAUGGCCGGUAAUAGUGAAGUCUGCAGCCAUAUUGCAGCAAUCCUAUUUUUAGCUGAGUAUGUCCAGAGCAAGACAGACGAAGAAGAACCCAAUGCAUGUACAUAUGUUACAGCUACAUGGUUUGGAGAUAGCAACAUAUGCAUUCUCUGAUGAAAAACUAAUGAGUUUUGAAACUGUUCGGUCAGAGUGCUUGUUGCGCUCACUAAACGAACUGAAAUAUAAGAAGUCUUUGGCAUUGUGUUGCAGCGAUAUGAAAAUGGUUAUUCAUUUUUAAUUAUAAUGUACUUCUUCAUCAUGAGUAAUUAUGUAUUGGUCUUUUAGAUGUGUAUUUAUUUUUGUAAUUAGUAUCAACUUGUAAUGAUAAUAUACAUUUAUCGUUUAAGGUACGACUAUGUUUUGACUCUAAAAUAAAUGUUUUAAAAAUCGAA
This is a long non-coding RNA of Diabrotica virgifera virgifera (western corn rootworm), 1008 nucleotides long. RefSeq lists it as uncharacterized. The transcript has 3 exons. The record is from RefSeq and is a predicted model, not a curated record. Lineage: Eukaryota; Metazoa; Arthropoda; Insecta; Coleoptera; Chrysomelidae.